This 1815-nucleotide long non-coding RNA is filed under the name Sus scrofa (pig). RNAcentral's name for it is "lncRNA (ENSSSCG00060003882.1)". Lineage: Eukaryota; Metazoa; Chordata; Mammalia; Artiodactyla; Suidae. The record is from RNAcentral.
ACAGCAACAACCCAAGAUGCUUAACGCCGGAUGCUUAACCCGCUGUGCUGCAAGGGAACUUCUACCUUGGUCAUUUUAGCUAUUUAUCAGUCAGCAUCUCUACGGCCGUGUUGGCAGCAACUCUACUGCUGAACUGUCCUGCCCCCAGCAUGCUCACCACCUGCAGGCUGGGACAGCAGUGGAUAAAGAUUGUGAAAAUGAGCGGCCUUUUCUUUUCGUUUUCUCCAGGUAGAAAUUUUCUUCCUGCUUCUCCUUUCCCCUGAGAAAGUGACUGGCUGGUUAGGAGAUUCUCCGCAGAGACCUCCAAGGACAUGGCAACUGUGAAACUCCUGCAAGAGAAAGUAUCAUGUGAUUCCUAAGACAAAGUUAGGGUUACUCGGGCUAUAGAAAAGAUCGUCAUAUAAAAGGCACUUUGAAAUAUAUCUUGCUGGAUGGAAACACAAUAUUAUUUCUAAAAGCAUAGUAGUGUCCUAAAAUUGGAGACAUGAGUUCGUGCGAAUUGCAGCUUUUGGCGAGCAAAUGCUGGGCCUUGCAGCCGCAAGCCCUGGCACACUUGAGUCAAAGGAGAAGAAGCCCCUGAAACUUGCUGUGCCUGCCUGGAGACCAAAAAACAUCAAUGAAAAAGAAGAGCAACUGUGGACACCUAAUGGAAGCCCACAAGGAGUGCAUGAGAGCCCUAGGAUUUAAGUUAUAAAAUGGUGGUCUGUGUUGUGAAUGAGUAAUUCCUGAAAAAUGAAGGAGAUUCUUUGGGAGAUCUUUGAUGAACUUUGAUAAAUAAAAAGUAUUUAAUUUAUUAAAAAUAUAUAUCCCCAGUCAAAAAGAUAAAUAAAAUAAAAUAGGAGACACAUACUUAAAUGACCAAAGGCAACAGACUGGAAUCUGACACAUGAGACAGGAUUAGGGAGCCUGACCCCUGCACUGACCAGGAGAAUAAAAACUUGCUAUUUUUUUUUUGCUUUUUAGGGCCGUACCCGCGGCAUAUGGAAGUUCCUAAGCUAGGGGUCGAAUUGGAGCUACAGCUGCCAGCCUAUGCUGCAGCCACAGCAACACAGGAUUCUAGCCGCGUCUGUGACCUACACCACAGCUCACAGCAACGUGGGAACCUUAACCCACUGAUCGAGGCCAGGGACCGAACCUUCAACCUCAUGGUUCUUAGUCAAAUUCGUUUCCUCUGCACCAUGAUGGGAACUCCCAGCUACGUUUUUUUUUUGUUUUUGUUUUUGUUUUUUUGGUUGAAAACACCUUAUGCUCAGAGACUGGGAUUUUCUUUGCCACUAAUUUAUUUAACACUGAUUCACUGUAGGAAUUAUAAUUUCACACGCCAAAAGCAUACAGGAUAAUGUCUCUUCCUAAUCCAAUAAAGCAAUAGCACGAUCUCAGCCAACAAUAGAUUAACCACACUGUUAUGCCAGGCAAGAGGGAGAUGAAGAAAAUAAAGUCCAAAUUGAGUUGAGGUGAAUCUUUUCAUGAGUUGGUUCCCCAGGAGAGUCAGCUUAGCCAACCAAGAGUGGGCAUCCAGCUGCCAGAGCAAAAGCAAACAUCUUUUUUGCUGAGAACAUGUUGCCCAGGAAAGAAGAUGCUGUUGGCUGUUGGCAGCACGUUGAUCUCCUUUGCGGGUGUUGCAUGGUUUUCACCACUGCCUAUAAGGAGUCCCUUUGCCCAGGCAGGAGCUAGUGCCUCAUGGUGUACAGAGAGCUGUUUAGAUCUGCAAGGAGUAGCCUUGCCCAGACCAAACACUCUGGAAUUGCUAUUCAAACCUCUUACUAUUUAAAGCUCAAACACCCCCCAGGCAUAGUUACUCCUGUCUUUAUUGAU